CACGUAGGGGGCGAGCGUUGUCCGGAUUUAUUGGGCGUAAAGAGCUCGUAGGCGGCUCGGUAAGUCGGGUGUGAAACCUCCAGGCUCAACCUGGAGACGCCACCUGAUACUGCUGUGGCUAGAGUCCGGUAGGGGAGUGUGGAACUCCUGGUGUAGCGGUGAAAUGCGUAGAUAUCGUAAGGAAGACCAGUGGCGAAGGCGGGUCUCUGGACAGUUCCUGACGCUGAGGCACGAAGGCCAGGGGAGCAAACGGG
Molecule: ribosomal RNA, 254 nt
Filed under: uncultured bacterium
Lineage: Bacteria
Description: partial 16S ribosomal RNA
Rfam family: Bacterial small subunit ribosomal RNA
Source: RNAcentral